UACGUAGGCGGAAAAUUAAGUCAGUGGUGAAAUCCUGCAGCUUAACUGUAGAACUGUCAUUGAUACUGGUUUUCUUGGAUAUAGUUGAGGUAGGCGGAAUGUGUAAUGUAGCGGUGAAAUGCUUAGAUAUUACACAGAACACCGAUUGCGAAGGCAGCUUACUAAGCUAUGAUUGACGCUGAGGUACGAAAGCGUGGGGAGCGAACAGGAUUAGAUACCCUGGUAGUCC
Molecule: ribosomal RNA, 229 nt
Filed under: uncultured bacterium
Lineage: Bacteria
Description: partial 16S ribosomal RNA
Rfam family: Bacterial small subunit ribosomal RNA
Source: RNAcentral